CAUAAAAAAUAAAUUGAUAUAGGUACACCUUGACAAAUAUCCAUAGAGGAAAAUCCAGAAACGUAAAUGAAUUUAAUUAUGUUUUUCAAACUGAAAGCCAGUAAUUAGAGGACAUUCAUUUCAAUAUUUAAUCAUUAGUUUUUUGUCUGACGUGCAACUUGGUACUUAUUCGAGAAUCAUUUCUUCAUUCUACAUUGUCAUAGUGAUGUGCAAAAUGUCGGUGAACACAAUGUUAUUGAUAAUAACCCUAGUCCUCACAAUGUCAACUUUAUCUAUUUGUUCACCUACUCCAUUCUACUUUGGACUCGAUGGAUAUUAUGGUCCAAUUGUUAGGGUCGGCACUUACCCAUAUGUAUAUGAUACUCCAGGGGUAAAUGUUCGUGUACGAUAUCCUCCAAGAUCAUAUUAUUAUUACUGGUGAAGAAAGAGAAAUAUUUAAUUUAUAGUUUGGUCAUGGCACUUUAUUAACUGAUUUUGAACAAUUUUCUUUUGUUAGGAUAAGUGGUUUGGUGAGAUGUCAAAUUCUAAAAAAUCUUGAAUAUAUUUAUUCUUUUUUA
Molecule: long non-coding RNA, 557 nt
Organism: Harmonia axyridis
Lineage: Eukaryota; Metazoa; Arthropoda; Insecta; Coleoptera; Coccinellidae
Exons: 2
Source: RefSeq, a predicted model, not a curated record